Molecule: ribosomal RNA, 460 nt
Filed under: uncultured bacterium
Lineage: Bacteria
Description: partial 16S ribosomal RNA
Rfam family: Bacterial small subunit ribosomal RNA
Source: RNAcentral
CCUACGGGUGACAGCAGUGAGGAAUAUUGGUCAAUGGACGAGAGUCUGAACCAGCCAAGUAGCGUGAAGGAUGACUGCACUAUGGGUUGUAAACUUCUUUUAUCUGGGAAUAAAAUGUUCCACUUGUGGGAUUUUGUAUGUACCAUAUGAAUAAGGAUCGGCUAACUCCGUGCCAGCAGCCGCGGUAAUACGGAGGAUCCGAGCGUUAUCCGGAUUUAUUGGGUUUAAAGGGAGCGUAGGUGGAUUGUUAAGUCAGUUGUGAAAGUUUGCGGCUCAACCGUAAAAUUGCAGUUGAAACUGGCAGUCUUGAGUACAGUAGAGGUGGGCGGAAUUCGUGGUGUAGCGGUGAAAUGCUUAGAUAUCGCGCAGAACUCCGAUUGCGAAGGCAGCUCACUGGACUGCAACUGACACUGAGGCUCGAAAGUGUGGGUAUCGAACAGGAUUAGAUACCCUUGUAGUC